GAGAGGCAGGAACUACACCAUCCAUGACUGUUGUAGCUUGAAAUGCUUGUUUUCACAGGAAAAUUCAUGUUUGUAGUGACAUGUUUUCCUCAGCAAUCUUUAAAGCUUAAAAAACUCACCACUGGCUUCUAGAUUCCACUGUAUGUUUAUUCUCUAUAAUUGCGCUAUCACUAAAUGCUGAAGAUAGGCUCCUACUUUGAAGAGGGUGACUGGAAAACUCAUUUAAUAGUUUCCCAGUGAAAUUACACAAAAAUAAGGUCAGGAACAAUACUGAGAAACAGAUAUCUUGUAGCCAGAGACCAAUCAAAAGAAGAAAGUGCCCCACCAGCAAGGUCCAGGAUCAGGAGCCUGGUGAGAAGCCCUGCACUGGGAACAAGGAGCAUGCUGGGAGUCUGUCCAAGGUGCUGUCCCCAGACCCUGCUUUGGAGCUUCUAUUUUUUAUAUCAAUUGUUGGCUAUUGAAGUCUCAUCCUUUCCCCUUCUGGCUGCUGUAAGAAAGGAGAGGGUGGGGGUUCGGUAUUGUGCUCUCCACUUUCAUAGCCACUCUUGUUGGUGUGCUGCUCCACUGCUCUGCUGUGAUGACCCCAGGGGAGGCCAGAUCCACCAGACAUUUGCCACCAGCCAUCAGCAUGGCAAAAACUAGGCAGAGCUGACCUGAGAACUGGUUCCAAUAUUUUUACCUGAACAGAUUAAUUAUACAACUCAAUUAUAACUCUCUAUAGCCUGAAGUUCUCAGACACUUAGUGAUAGCACCUUGAGUACCAUCUUUUGGAUGGCAGAUUGCUACAGAGGUACUUGAACACCCUACCUAUAAGAAAACAUACGAGCUAGCAAGAAACACAAUACUUACGUCCAUUGCAGAAAUCAUUACAAGUAGAUUAGAACUAAGACACUACAUUGCUGGGAACCCAGCAAUAACCAAGUGCUCUUUGUGGAAAAAAUAUUCCCUACACCGCUAGAUUUAGAGGGGCCCCUUUUUAUAGUGAUAAAGCUGCCCAAAUCCCAUUAGGAACACAUCAGUGGAGUAGGAUGGUGAAGGUCCAUGUUCACUGUAUAUCCAUGUCAUAUGUGCAGAAAAAAAUCCUGUUGGCAUUGGGAGGAACAGCUGCUGAAGAGAGCAGAAUAUACAAUAAUCUUGAAGGCACAUCAACCUGCUCCACUGACUGUAAAGUGAAGAUAAGUUUUUAUGCCCACACAUUAAUUGCCUGAUUAAGCCACAAAGAGAAGAGCAGACCUCUGUUCAGAAAGAUUUGGCCAUUUCAUUCUCCUUCCUUUCCAGUUUCCUUAUAAUCUCUAAGGAUAACUAUAUUUAGGGGUUACACAGCUUCAGUUACAUGCUUACUAGAAAAAUAUACAGAGCCAGAGCAAAGUUGCUGAAUCAGAGGAGGAGGACUGCAAUGGGUUAGAGUUGCCAAAUGAGUCUGACUGACUUGUACUUCUUUCUGAACCUGCACUUGUUUCUGUUCUCUUAGGGUAUAUUAAACAUUGUUAUGCACUGCAGAUUAAAUAUGUUGGUUUUAACUCUGUUAAAUUCUGUUUGAUAUCAUUGUGCCUACUAAAACAUUGCAUUACUGAUGUUGUGAUUUGCAGUAAUAAAGUUACACUCUGGUUAUACAUCUUUUAAACUAUUGCAGCAUAUGCUCCCAGAAGCCAAGGGGAUAUUAAA
Molecule: long non-coding RNA, 1665 nt
Organism: Mauremys mutica (yellowpond turtle)
Lineage: Eukaryota; Metazoa; Chordata; Testudines; Geoemydidae
Exons: 3
Source: RefSeq, a predicted model, not a curated record